CGAGGGUGCAAGCGUUAAUCGGAAUUACUGGGCGUAAAGCGAGUGUAGGCGGUUACCUAAGUCGGAUGUGAAAUCCCCGGGCUCAACCUGGGAAUUGCAUUCGAUACUGGGUAGCUAGAGUUUGGUAGAGGUAAGUGGAAUUCCGGGUGUAGCGGUGAAAUGCGUAGAGAUCUGGAGGAACAUCAGUGGCGAAGGCGGCUUCCUGGAUCAAAACUGACGCUGAGGCUCGAAAGCGUGGGGAGCAAACAGGAUUAGAUACCCGAGUAGUCC
Molecule: ribosomal RNA, 270 nt
Filed under: uncultured archaeon
Lineage: Archaea
Description: partial 16S ribosomal RNA
Rfam family: Bacterial small subunit ribosomal RNA
Source: RNAcentral